UCCUCGUCCGAUUAUCUAUAGCCAUUCUUUCUUUCUUUCCAGCUUUCUACUUUCAAAUAACUUAUCACACUCAUUUGUUUUGUGUGAUAUACCGAAGAUGCCACCGAAGCACUAUGACGAGAAGAGCGACAUCGUCCCUCCGCACGACAGGGCGGAAGCGCUCGCGAUGGAGUACGAGGAUUCGCAUCACGAGCGUCCUGGCACAAAGAAGCACAACGAGACACCCAGCCACCAGGGCAAGCCGAAGUCUGUGCGUUGAUGACGAAAAAAAAUUGCAAGAAAAAAAAAGAAACGUUUGUGGUGCGGAUGGCAGGAACAGAAGUGCUUGAGUACCAGGCCGUGCUGUUACGUAGGUGUGUGUGGGGGGGGGGGGGCGGUAACUGUUGUUUUAGCGUUCUGCAUUGUCCCUCACAAACCAACUCGAAGGCAAGUAAAUGAAAAGGGUAGCAUUCAGUUGCCGUCUGAAACACUCACAUACAAAAAAAAACGAUUGAGCUCCUAUGAGACGCUUCUACUCGCUUCUCUCCUCUCAAUUUUUAUCGGUUACUCAUUUUUUCCGUGAUGAAUUCGUUCCGCACGCGCACCGGCGACGGCAG
Molecule: unclassified non-coding RNA, 596 nt
Filed under: Leishmania donovani
Lineage: Eukaryota; Euglenozoa; Kinetoplastea; Trypanosomatida; Trypanosomatidae
Description: gene:unknown
Source: RNAcentral